This 497-nucleotide ribosomal RNA is filed under the name uncultured bacterium. RNAcentral's name for it is "partial 16S ribosomal RNA". It matches the Rfam family "Bacterial small subunit ribosomal RNA", at positions 28 to 507 of the family's 1533-position model. The record is from RNAcentral.
GAUGAACGCUGGCAGCGUGCCUAAUACAUGCAAGUCGAGCGAACAGACGAGGAGCUUGCUCCUCUGACGUUAGCGGCGGACGGGUGAGUAACACGUGGAUAACCUACCUAUAAGACUGGGAUAACUUCGGGAAACCGGAGCUAAUACCGGAUAAUAUAUUGAACCGCAUGGUUCAAUAGUGAAAGACGGUUUUGCUGUCACUUAUAGAUGGAUCCGCGCCGCAUUAGCUAGUUGGUAAGGUAACGGCUUACCAAGGCAACGAUGCGUAGCCGACCUGAGAGGGUGAUCGGCCACACUGGAACUGAGACACGGUCCAGACUCCUACGGGAGGCAGCAGUAGGGAAUCUUCCGCAAUGGGCGAAAGCUUGACGGAGCAACGCCGCGUGAGUGAUGAAGGUCUUCGGAUCGUAAAACUCUGUUAUUAGGGAAGAACAAAUGUGUAAGUAACUAUGCACGUCUUGACGGUACCUAAUCAGAAAGCCACGGCUAACCACGUG